This 458-nucleotide ribosomal RNA is filed under the name uncultured bacterium. RNAcentral's name for it is "partial 16S ribosomal RNA". It matches the Rfam family "Bacterial small subunit ribosomal RNA", at positions 338 to 795 of the family's 1533-position model. The record is from RNAcentral.
CCUACGGGAGGCAGCAGUGAGGAAUAUUGGUCAAUGGGCGAGAGCCUGAACCAGCCAAGUCGCGUGAGGGAGUACUGCCCUCUGGGUUGUAAACCUCUUUUGUCGGGGAGCAAAAGCCGGACGUGUCCGGCUGUGAGAGUACCCGAAGAAAAAGCAUCGGCUAACUCCGUGCAAGCAGCCGCGGUAAUACGGGGGAUGCGCGCGUUAUCCGGAUUUAUUGGGUUAAAAGGGUGCGCAGGCGGAUUUUUAAGUCAGCGGGAAAAUCGUGGGGCUAAACCCCAUCCAGCCGUUGAAACUGGGGAUCUAGAGUGGGCGAGAGGUAUGAGGAAUGCGUGGUGUAGCGGUGAAAUGCAUAGAUAUCACGCAGAACCCGGAUUGCGAAGGCAGCAUACCGGUGCACAACUGACGCUCAGGCACGAAAGCGUGGGUAUCGAACAGGAUUAGAUACCCUUGUAGUC